RNAcentral lists this ribosomal RNA (577 nucleotides) under uncultured bacterium. RNAcentral's name for it is "bacterial SSU rRNA". It matches the Rfam family "Bacterial small subunit ribosomal RNA", at positions 338 to 916 of the family's 1533-position model. The record is from RNAcentral.
CCUACGGGAGGCAGCAGUGAGGAAUAUUGGACAAUGGGCGCAAGCCUGAUCCAGCCAUGCCGCGUGCAGGAAGAAGCAUCUAUGGUGUGUAAACUGCUUUUGUACAGGAAGAAACACUCCCUCGUGAGGGAGCUUGACGGUACUGUAAGAAUAAGGACCGGCUAACUCCGUGCCAGCAGCCGCGGUAAUACGGAGGGUCCGAGCGUUAUCCGGAAUCAUUGGGUUUAAAGGGUCCGUAGGCGGUUUAAUAAGUCAGUGGUGAAAUCUGGUCGCUCAACGAUCAAACGGCCAUUGAUACUGUUAGACUUGAAUUAUAAGGAAGUAACUAGAAUAUGUAGUGUAGCGGUGAAAUGCUUAGAUAUUACAUGGAAUACCAAUUGCGAAGGCAGGUUACUACUUAUGGAUUGACGCUGAUGGACGAAAGCGUGGGGAGCGAACAGGAUUAGAUACCCUGGUAGUCCACGCCGUAAACGAUGGAUACUAGCUGUUCGGAGCAAUCUGAGUGGCUAAGCGAAAGUGAUAAGUAUCCCACCUGGGGAGUACGUUCGCAAGAAUGAAAACUCAAAGGAAUUGACGG